This 450-nucleotide ribosomal RNA is filed under the name uncultured bacterium. Its description in RNAcentral is "partial 16S ribosomal RNA". It matches the Rfam family "Bacterial small subunit ribosomal RNA", at positions 338 to 795 of the family's 1533-position model. The record is from RNAcentral.
CCUACGGGGGGCUGCAGUGAGGAAUAUUGGGCAAUGCCCGCAAGGGUGACCCAGCAACGCCGCGUGAAGGAUGAAGGUCGUAAGAUUGUAAACUUCUUUUUAAGGGGACGAAAAAAUGAAGUAACACUCCAUAUUGACUGUACCCUCAGAAUAAGCCCCGGCUAACUACGUGCCAGCAGCCGCGGUAAUACGUAGGGGGCAAGCGUUGUCCGGAUUUACUGGGUGUAAAGGGCGCGUAGGCGGUUGGUGGUGAAAUCCUGCAGCUUAACUGCAGAACUGCCGUCGAUACUGUGGAUCUUGAGUUCGGAAGAGAGUAGCGGAAUUCCAGGUGCAGUAGUGAAAUACGUAGAUAUCGGAAGAACACCAGUGGCGAAGGCGGCUACUUGGUCCGUAUCUGACGCUGAGGCGCGAAAGCGUGGGGAGCAAACAGGAUUAGAUACCCCUGUAGUC